UACAUCAGCUUUGAGUUCCUUUUCCAUCUUCUUCAUA
RNAcentral lists this small RNA (37 nucleotides) under Arabidopsis thaliana (thale cress). RNAcentral's name for it is "ATSL187310". The record is from RNAcentral. Lineage: Eukaryota; Viridiplantae; Streptophyta; Magnoliopsida; Brassicales; Brassicaceae.